This 2922-nucleotide long non-coding RNA is filed under the name Sus scrofa (pig). RNAcentral describes it as "lncRNA (ENSSSCG00025034085.1)". Lineage: Eukaryota; Metazoa; Chordata; Mammalia; Artiodactyla; Suidae. The record is from RNAcentral.
CUGGGCAGAAAGAUUCAAGAGUUGAUUUCCUUUAUCCAAUCAAGAACUAACCUGCUUUGAGGCUGGCUAUAGUUUUGCAAAGCUCCAUCAAUCUCUAAAUGUCUACUCCCCCUGGGGCCCCCUAGAGUUUAGUCUUGUGUAGCUUCCAGUUGAACAUCUAGUACGAUCACCAGAUUCAUUUUCUCAACAGUUCGACAUUAGCCUUGCUUUUCAACUCUACUUCCCAAAAGUUUUAACGUUGCUUCAAAUGCAUUGGGGAGUAAACAGGUAAACAGACAAUUUGCUGACAUUCCUCAAGCUAAGACACCAUUUUUUUUUUUAGUCCACAAAAAGUUCUAUAUGUUUCUCCUUCCCUUACUAGCAGCCACUGCCUUGGCAGAGCCCCCAUUCUCUGCUUCCUACCAAUGACCCAGAAGUAGCAAAACCUCCUGAGGGAAAGAGGAAAGAUCAAUCAUGAACUCAGAUUUCCGUCGUUUCCCCAUCUCUGAAAUUUUAACCAUUCUAGUUCUCAUUACUUCAAAAACUUUCUAACGCAUUUAAGCAGAAUUAUUUAAAUAGUUAUCUGUAUUUUCUAGCUGUUCUCAACAGGAGCACAAUUCUACCACAAGUAGCUCCAUCCUAUCUAGAACUCUCAUUAUAUUUUUGUUCAUUUAAAAAAAUGUAAAAAAUUCCAUCAGUUUCUUCAAGAGUUGUCAUGGAAGACAGACAGAUAAAGUCUUAUAUUAAGUAGCUGAGAAGAGCUUUGUGCAGUGCGAAGGAAUUUACAAAGCUACUUCUAAUACUGUAAAAUCAUUAUGUUGCAGCUGAAGUAUAAUGCUGCACUGAGUAUGCAUGUCACAGGCUUUUAAAGUCUAUAUAAAAGACAGAGAGGAACAAGAAACUAUACCUGUUAUUUCCAGCAAGAAAAAAAAAAAUCUUAAUGCAAUGACCUGAAAGACUUUUACACCAAUUCUAAAAUAUAACGAGAAAGUGAUACAGGGAUGUUCUACGUUGCUCAUGUAUUUAGGGUAUGGAGUUGCCAUUUUUCAUCUUUUAAAAAUCUAUGUAUUUAGAAGAAAGUGCAAUAUUUUUACCAAAUGUGUAAAAUCACUCUGAUAUGUGUGUAAUUAUAUUUAUAAAAUUCUUCAAAAAAUACCAAUUUUAGGUGCCUGCUCUUACCUCUUAUUACUUAACCUUGCAAUAAUGGAUUUGGUCAGUCUAUCUGGCAGUAGCUAAAGGAAAAGCCGAAAAUUACUGCAAACCUCUGAAAGCAUUAAGUUUUCCAGAUCUAUUCAUUAAAGUAGACAAUAAGGAGAGAGAAUACAAAGUUACCUGUUCCUUUAUGGGAUAUAUUCUUAACAAAGAGAUGUCAUUUUGGAUGACUUUCCAACUGUUUAAGAGAUGUAGUCUUCUGUACAUAAUUAAAGAGUUCCCAUCGCGCUAAUAAUUGAAGAACUAAAAUGAUAACUUCUAAAUGAGAAAAAUUUACCUUAAUCCCCAAACCACAAGAUUAAAGAUUUGUUUUCAGCAUCAUAGUUUGUGGGUCUUUUCAAUUUAUUGAGACAGUCAUGAAGUAAGGUCAUAUCACACACAUUUUCGGAAAAAUAAUCAAGGUUCCUUGAAUCUUAAUCCUCCCUGAAUUUAUGCAAAGUCCAAAAACACAUGGCCACCUGUACCCUAAAUAAUAAAAGCAGAAAACACCAAGAAUUAAUAGAAGAAACUGGGAUAGAGAAUAAACUAAUAAUUAAGGGUCUUUGGUUUAAACAAGCACUAAUUUUGUGACCUAUGGCAAAUCAUUUAAGUUCUGUUAAUGGUGAGGUGGUUGUAAGAAACAAAUCAGAAGGUGUUUUUUAAAGAAUUACACUUUGAAAAAUGAGGCAGUUCUAUGCAAAUGCAAGAAUCAGUUUGUAUAACUCUAAGAGGCAUUUUUAUCUCAUUUCAGAAAACAAACUAUCUUUGGGCACUUGAAAACCUCGCCAGCCUUCAUUUGCAUAAAAUUAUUAUUCUAAUUACAAAUUAUUUUCAUGUAUUCAUUAAAGCAGGUUCAUCAGGGCAUCUAUUAGGCAAUUCUUUAUUAGCUUAAUUCGAAUUACGUAUAUGAAAGUAAUAAAGCUGCAUUUCUCUUUCAAUAAUAAUUUCAGAAAGUCUCCAUUAAUCCAACUAACAGAAGUAUUACUCUAAAUUUUAUGUUCUCUGAAUGUGAGAGAGGAAAGCCUAAAAAUUGCAAAAACUAGUUCAAUGCAAACACCAACAAAGAGUUACUAAUACCUUCUUUGUUGCAAUCUAAAUACUGCAGAUAUGUUUUAUGUUCUAUUCCAGUACUUCCAUUUUACCGCCGGAGAAACAAGGCCUAUGUUCAAAAAGCAAAGUAAGAUAAAAAGACACUAAUACAUAACACUAAUUAACACGAAGAUAUCAGAACUUAAAACUCCCUGGUCUCCAGUUCAACUUACAUCUUGAUAAUCACUAGUUGCCCACCUGAAUUACCAACACCAGCAGGAUCAGGUAAAAGAGACGUUUCUCUCUGUCCCUUUGUAUUUAAAUAUGGCAAAUAAAGAAGUGUCUCUUCCUUUAUAGCCUGACAACUCUUAUUUCUUUUUCUCCUUCCACCCUCCCCUUCGGCCAACCAGAGUGGCAUUUCUUGAGUACUCCAGGUACUUCUAUUCCUCCUUGUCUUUGCUAUUCUCUUGGCCUGGAUUGUCCUCUGUUCAUUAAAAUCCUCUCCCCCUUCAUUUUCACUGGGAAGGCUGUGAAUAAUGCCUUCCCAUUAUUCCAAAAGAUGCUCUACCUUAAAUGGAUGAACUAUUCAUUGACCCACCUCUUCAGCUAAUGUAUAAGUACCCUGAAAGCAAAGACAAUGCCUAUCUCCAGCAUCAUGGUGCUUGGCAUUAUGCUUAGAAGGCAAGGAGGUGAAUGAACAGAUGAAUAAAUGGAUGAAUGGAU